CUUCCCCCCAAAUAAGGGCAAAAGAAGGAGCAUUACAUCUGAAAUCACCCCCCAACACCAGCCCUGGUUACGUUUGCAAGAAGGAAUUUAUCAAUUUGAACUUUUUAAUUUUCCUGGAUCGUACAUUACAACCCCCCAAACGUCUAAAUUGCUAGGAGGGACCCAAAAGAAGAAAGUCUGAAAGUUGGGCAAGUGUCAAACUGUCAGCCUCUGACGUCAGCCACUCUCAG
Long non-coding RNA from Mustela erminea (ermine), 230 nucleotides. RefSeq lists it as uncharacterized. The transcript has 3 exons. The record is from RefSeq and is a predicted model, not a curated record. Lineage: Eukaryota; Metazoa; Chordata; Mammalia; Carnivora; Mustelidae.